CCUACGGGUGACAGCAGUGGGGAAUAUUGGACAAUGGGGGAAACACUGAUCCAGCGACGCCGCGUGAGUGAAGAAGUAUUUCGGUACGUAAAGCUAUAUCAGCAGGAAAGAAAAUGACGGUACCUGACUAAGCAGCCCCGGCUAACUACGUGACAGCAGCCGCGGUAAUACGUCGGGGGCAAGCGUUAUCCGGAUUUACUGGGUGUAAUGGGAGCGUAGACGGCUGCGGAAGUCUGGAGUGAAAUGCCGGGGCCCAACCCCGGAACUGCUCUUGAAACUGUGAGGCGGGAGUUGAAGAGAGGUAAGCGGAAUUCCUGGUGUAGCGGUGAAAUGCAUAGAUAUCAGGAGGAACACCGACGGCGAAGGCGGCUUACUGGACUGUAACUGACGUUGAGGCUCGAAGGCGUGGGGAGCAAACAGGAUUAGAUACCCCUGUAGUC
RNAcentral lists this ribosomal RNA (440 nucleotides) under uncultured bacterium. RNAcentral describes it as "partial 16S ribosomal RNA". It matches the Rfam family "Bacterial small subunit ribosomal RNA", at positions 338 to 795 of the family's 1533-position model. The record is from RNAcentral.